Long non-coding RNA from Vicia villosa (hairy vetch), 7837 nucleotides. RefSeq lists it as uncharacterized. Lineage: Eukaryota; Viridiplantae; Streptophyta; Magnoliopsida; Fabales; Fabaceae. The record is from RefSeq and is a predicted model, not a curated record. The transcript has 6 exons.
CUUUCCAAUUUCACUAAACUUUUCUAUUUUUCCCAUCUUUUUCUUUCUCUUUUUUCGCAAAGCCCUAUUCACCUUUUCAAAUAUGCAGACUCAACUUUUCAGAUUGCUUGCAACUAUGGUUUUGCUCCAUUCAAUACAAACCAUAUCUCUCUUUAUUUUCCUUCAAAAAGCCAAACUUUCAUUUCUUCAUUUCUCCUCCUCCCUCACGGCAAGAUCGUUCGAGCGCGUUGCCGACAUAACGACGGUAAGGAUUUAUGGAAGGUGGCGGUUCGAGUUGAGCAUAAAUGGAGUGUCGUUUCCAACAACAAAGAACACUUUGAAAUUAUUUUCAUUGACAAGGAUGGGUGCGAUGUCCAUGUUGUUGUUCCGCCUGCGAACAUGGCUGCAUAUUACGAGAAGUUUGCUUUGGACUUGACCUGCACCGUGUCAAACUUUAAAGUACAUCCAAAUAACUUGGUCUUUAAACCAUCCACACACAAGUAUCCGGUCAAGUUUACUGGAGGAACAUUGGUUUUUGAUGUUAACAAACACGAAAUACAACCCAAGCAACAGAAGUUUACCAGUUUCGCUAAUAUUAUUAUCGGCAAGUUUCGGAAAGAUCUGCUGCUCGAUAAUAUAAUAUUAAUGACUUGCAGCAUGUUACACAUUUUUUUGAAUGUUUCCUUCAUAUUACUUAUGUUGUUCGUUGUUUUGCUUUUUGCAGAUGUUAUUGGUAUGGUCGAGUCUAUUGGAUAUGCCCAGACACAGAGCGGAGGCAAAAAAUUGCAAGUUAAUUUGGUCCUUAGGGAUGAGAGCAACAACACGAUGAAUUGCACCCUGUGGGAGGCCUAUGAUGCUCAAUUCUUUAAGUUUAACUAGGAACGGGGUGAUGCAUCUAAUCUAACCAUUCUGGUUCUUUAAUAUGCAAAAGUUAAAGAAGAGGGACAAUAUCCAUUAUCGGUUACCAACACCUUCAUGUUACGAGGCUCUAUAUCAAUGAGGAUUUUCCGGAAAUCAAAACUUCAUAGACAAUAUCCCUAAUGAUUCUUUGGUUACCGUUUCCAGCCAAUUAAGCUCUCGGUAUUAGCGUUACUCACGCACUUCUAAUUCUGAUACGGGACGACAAACCCCAACCCAAAAAUUGCUUUCAGGCGCUGUUGCCAUAUGAAUUAAUUCAAUUAUUUUUAUAUUUGACUUAAUUUAUUUAGUUUUUAAAUGAAUAAAAUCCAAAUAAAAUAAAUAAAGGUUAAAAAAAUAAAUGAAUGGAUUUAUAGGUCCUUAUUUAGGUCAUAAUCAUUUUUGAAGUCCAAAACUUAGGCCCAUUAGUCAAAAUAUCCAUAAUUUUCCAAAGUUACUUUUAUGCAUUUCUUGAAUUUUGAUCAACUUGUACAAUCCAUAACUUCCUCAACUACGAAAGUGUUCUUGGACUUUUUAGAAACCUCACAAUGUCUACUACAACCUCUUGGUGGUCAUUUGUUCAUUUGGAGCUUCCAUAUUUAUGCAAAUUGCUUUGACAAAAGAUGUGUUUUUGUUGACUUUCAAGAUGACAUGUAAUGUUUUAGCUUAUAUCUUUAAAAUGAAGCAUUUUUUGCCAUGUCUUUGGUUCGACAAAAAUGUAGAUAAUUGAAUUUCCUUCCAAAUUAGCUUUUGUUGGGAAUUUAUGAUAAAGUAUGUGAAAGUUAUGCUUGGUCAAAAUUCAGUUGACUUUCCUUUAGAAAACCCUAAUUUAGCAAUUUUGACUUUUGAUGAUCUUUGAGAUUUUCUUGAUGAAUCAUGAUCAAACCUUGAUCAAAUGAUGAAUGUGACCUCAAAACCUUGAUGUUGACCAAAAAUCUUGAAGUUUGAUUGUAUAUUAACCAUAGUUGACUUUUGACCUAAUACAGUCGACUGUUGAUCAUCUGAGCAAUUGACUGAGUAACCUUGCAUUGUAAGGCUUGAAAUUUGACAUGGAGACAUAUGAGAUACUAUGAAGUCCACUAGAGGCCUUGGGAGUUCCAUUUCCUUGAGGGAAAUCAAAACCCUAGUUGGAGGUCCUUUGUUUAGGAGGAGUGUAGGUAUGUCCAACCUUUGGAGAUCCUAUGAGCUUGAGGGGACUGCUUGAGCCAACUUACCUUAAAUAUUGUGAGGGCAAAUUUGAGGGUGCAACAACUUCCCCUAUUCAAUCUUCUUAAACCUAAAGAAGUAGAUUGGCUUAUUCGCCUAUCGUGAUCUGAAGGUGGAAGGUGAUUGAACACUUAGGUGCCCUAAAAUUUGCACUCGCUGCUGCAGGAAGUAGUAUUGUUGGCUGUUUGAAUGGGCUUAAAGAUGCCAUCCAGGGAGUUGACAGAAUGUUGUUGGGGAUGGGCUUGUAGAUGUCAUCCAAAGGAGAUAUUUUUCAGAAUAUAUUGGGGAUAUGCUUUCCAGAAUGUAUAUCCGAAGUAGACGCUUUUCAGAAGAUUUGGAGGGACAUGCUUUCCAGAAUGUGAAUCUGAAGUAGAUGUCUUUCAGAAUGUAUGGGGGAUAUGCUUCCAGAAUGUAUAUUUGAUAGAGAGUUUCAGAAUAUUUGGAGGAUAUGCUUGAAGGAUAGAAAAACACUUAGAAAGGGGGGGUUUGAAUAAGUGUAGUCUAAAAACUUGAACGAUAAAAACAAUUUGCACAGUUAUUUUUAUCCUAGUUCGUUGUUAACUAAACUACUUCAGUCCACCCCCACGGAGUGAUUUACCUCACCUGAGGAUUUAAUCCACUAAUCGCAACAGAUUACAAUGGUUUUCCACUUAGCCCACGACUAAGUCUUCUAGAGUAUCCUGAUCACAACCUGAUCACUCUAGGAACAAAUGCUUAGACACAAGCUAAGACUUUCUUAGAGUAUCCUGACCACCACGUGAUCACUCUAAUUACAACUGCUUAGACACAAGCUAAGACUUCCUAGAGUAUCCUGAUCAACACUUGAUCACUCUAGUUACUUACAAAUUAAUGUAAUCAAAUAAGAGUUUUACAAUGCUUCUGAAAAGCUAUAAUCACAACAGUGAUAUUUCUCUUAAAGUUUAAGCUUAAUCUCACUAAUAUAUUACAACAGCAAUGUAGUGAGCUUUGAUGAAGAUGAAGUUUCUGAGCUUUGAGUUGAACAGCGUUUCAGCAAGUUUUUCAGAUUAAGUUCGUUCAGAAUUGGUAACCUUGCUUCUCAUCAGAACUUCAUACUUAUAGGCACUUGAGAAGAUGACCGUUGGGAGCAUUUAAUGCUUUGCGUAUUCCGUACAGCAUUGCAUUUAAUGUUUCACGCUUUUGUCAACUACCUCGAGCCUUGUUCACGCUGUGUCUACUGACGUUGCCUUUAAUAGCUUCCAACGUUCCUUUUGUCAGUCAGCGUAGCCUGCCACCUGUACUUUCUUCUGAUCUGAUGUUUGUGUAUACAACGUUUGAAUAUCAUCAGAGUCAAACAGCUUGGUGCAUAGCAUCUUCUUGUCUUUUGACCUUGAAGUGCUUAUGAGCGUGAUACCAUGAGAACUUCAGUGCUUCUGCUUCUGAACUCAAGUUCUUCUGAUGCUUCCAUAGACCCAUGUUCUGAUUCUGCCUUGACCAUCUUCUGAUGUCUUGCCAGACCAUGUUCUGAUGUUGCAUGCUGAACCUUCUGAGUCAAAGCCUCUGAGCGCUGAUUUGUGCAUACUCUUUAUAUAUUUCCUAAAAGGGAAAUUGCAAUGUAUUAGAGUACCACAUUAUCACACACAAAAUUCAUAUCUUUGUUAUCAUCAAAACUAAGAAUAUUGAUCAGAACAAAUCUUGUUCUAACAAUCUCCCCCUUUUUGAUGAUGACAAAAACAUAUAUAUAUGAUAUGAAUUUGCGAUCAGAAAGAGCAGAUGGCUAAAGAAAAUUUACCCAGCUAUAGCAUAAGCAUGUGAAUAUGUCUCCCCUUGAGAUUAACAAUCUCCCCCUGAGAUGAAUAAUCUCCCCCUGAAAUUAAUACUAGAAGAAUUUUAUAAAUAAAAGACUUCCCUGAGUAUUUCAGUAGAGACGUUCACAUAUGCUUGAUCUUCAGAACAUUCAUGACUUCUGAUUUCUGCUUCCAUAGGACAGCUUCAGAACAUUGAAUUUAUUUAGAUCCUCAGAACAUUCACAGCUUCUGAUUCCUGCUUCCAUCGGACAGCUUCAGAACUUGAAUUUCUUUGAUCUUCAGAACAUUCACAGCUUCUGACUUCUGCUUCCAUCGGACAGCUUCAGAACUUGAAUUUCUUUGAGCUUCAGAACAUUCACAGCUUCUGACUUCUGCUUCCAUCGGACAGCUUCAGAACUUGAAUUUCUUUGAUCUUCAGAACAUUCACAGCUUCUGAUUCCUGCUUCCAUUAGAACAGCUUCAGAGCUUGAAUUUCUUCUUACAUCACUUCAUGCUAGAUUGUAUCAGAACAUUGUUGAAUGUACCAGAGCAUCAUCAGAGCAUCUGUACAUCCUGAAAUGUUACAGAACAAAACUAAACGACAAAAGUCAGCAUGAAUGAGUCAGAACAUAGAGUAUGUUUUAUAACACAUAAUAUGUAUCAGAGCCAUAUGAUAUGUAUCAGAACACAUAGACAUAAUGUUUCAGAGCAUAUUCUAUCAUUAGAAUAUCUGAACAUUCUUCCUUCUUGCUUCUGAUCCUGAAGCUUCAUAGCACUCAGCUUGCUUCAAGAAUCCAAGAGCUUGAUUCUCUAUAGAAUUGCUUUUCCUCAUCUUGUUGCUUCUUGUGUUGAUCUUUUAAAGAGAAUCUUCAAUUCCUGCAACAACACAACUUAAAGCAUAGAACUUUGCAAGUUCUGUUAGUAAUGUGAGGCCUUUUUACCCGGUAACUGAUAAUAUUAAUCAGAUCAUUUAUCAUAUAUUUUCUCCCCCUUUUUGUCAUAACAUCAAAAAAGAAUAUAAAAGAUUCAGAUGUAGAAAACGACAAAAGAAAGAAACAGAAUAAUUUUUCAUUGAUUAAACAAACAGAAUUACAAAAGAUGUAUGCAGAACAAGCAGAUGCAACAAACAAAGAAAACUACAAGGACUUAAAGACUACAACCCUAGCUUAGACAUAAUCUUAGCUAACAUAUCAUGAAUCCCUGCGGUGCUCUCAGUUUGUCUAGCCCUGAAAUCUUGAAACUCUGCAUGCCUGUCCAGACGAGAAGCUUCACUGGAAGAGAAUACAUGAAUCCAAGGAGGAAGUGAGAGACAGUUCACAGGAAAAGAGCUAAUGUCUUAAACGGGGCUUUCCCUUAACAUAGAAGUCAAGAACAUGAUGCUUAACUUCAUCCAAUAUCUCAAGAAAGUCUUCUUCCUUUGGAUAAAUGUUGAUAACAACAUCACAGAAGAGAUAUGACUUGAGACUUCUUGGAAUCUUGAGAGAUCCGUCUUGAAAUCAAUGUCAGCGAUCCCCGAGAUUUGUUUCUCAACCUGGAACCAGACAACCCUUCCAACCGUUCUAUUCAAAUAGAUCGACCACCCUUGAGACUUCGUCUUCGUUUCUGGUUUGACACCAUAAGCACCCAAGUCAUCAGAGUCCACAGAAGAUUUACACAAAACUUCCAUUUCUGAUGGAGGAAUGGAGCAAGUUUUCAGUGGAGAAACCUCUUGUCUGUUGAAUGCUUGUUGGGAGGAACUUGAAAAAGGAUUCAUGGUGAAUGCUAGGUUGAAGAUGAAUAAACUAGGGUUUAUGCAAAAUGCAGAUAAAGAGAGAGAGAGAGAAAUAAAUAGAGGGAAAAGAAACGUUUGAAGAAUAUAAAAAAAAAUAAAAGGAAAUGAUGGAUAGCAUUUAAUGUUACGUGACGUGAGGAGAGAUAAUAAUGACAAAAGAUGUGAUUAGCACAGUUACCUAAGUAGGCGUCCCCUCAACUGCAUGCACGCUUGUCCAGAAAUAGUGAACACGUGUUUACCAUCUGGAUAGCCAGUUACACCUGUUUUACUUUUAAAGAGAUUCUGAGUUAACUUAGACAAUGAAACGUUAGUAAUAACAAAAUCACUACUUCUAAUUUAUUACAAUCAGAACUUCUUAUUAAAGACUAAUCCAAUCUCAUUUCAGAAGAUACUCAUACAUAAGAUCUUCUCAUCUUCUCAUCUUCUCAUUCUGGGCAUAAAUCCAUACUGAUAUUCUUCAGAAUGAACUUAAACCUAUCUUCAGCAAGGGGUUUUGUAAAGAUAUCAGCCCAUUAAUGGUCUGUAUCCACAAAGUUUAAAGAUAUAACACCCUUCUGAACAUAGUCCCUUAUGAAAUGAUGUUUAAUCUCAAUAUGUUUAGCUUUUGAAUGUAAGAUAGGAUUCUUAGAUAAACAUAUAGCAGAAGUAUUAUCACAAAAAAUAGGAAUGUUACUCUCAUAUAUCUGAUAAUCUUCUAGCUGACUUCUCAUCCAGAGCAUUUGUGUGCUACAACCAGCAGCAGCAACAUAUUCUGCUUCUGUUGUUGAGAGGGCAAUUGUAGCUUGCUUCUUGCUGUACCAUGAGAUCAGAUGACUUCCAAGAAAUUGACAACUUCCAGAAGUGCUUUUUCUUUCUAUUCUAUCCCCAGCAUAGUCAGCAUCACAGAAUCCUACUAAGUUGUAAUCUUUGGAUAUUCUGUAAACUAAACCAACAUUAGUAGUACCUUUCAGAUACCUCAGAAUUCUCUUAACCGCAGUUAAAUGAGAUUCUCUUGGAUCUGAUUGGAAUCUAGCACACAAACAAACACUGAAGAGAAUGUCAGGUCUAGAAGCAGUUAGGUAUAGAAGAGAUCCAAUCAUACCUCUGUACAACUUCUGAUCUACCUUCUUACUUACCUCGUCCUUACCUAGGACACAUGUUGGAUGCAUAGGAGUUUUGGCUUCUUUGCUUUCAGAAAGAUUAAACUUCUUCAGAAGUUCUUUCACAUACUUCGUUUGAUGAACAUAGGUUCCAUCAGAAGUUUGGUUGAUUUGAAUCCCAAGGAAAUACUUGAGUUCUCCCAUCAUGCUCAUUUCAAAUUCAGCCUGCAUAGACUCAGCAAACUCCUUUCCAAGUGUACCAUUAGAUGUUCCAAAGAUGAUAUCAUCAACAUAUAUUUGACAAAUUAAAAUAUCCUUUUUAAAGGUUUUACAAAAGAGAGUAGUGUCCACUUUUCCUCUAGUGAAACCAUUUUCUAGAAGGAAAGAACUUAAACGUUCAUACCAAGCUCUAGGAGCUUGCUUAAAUCCGUAUAAUGAUUUCUUUAACUUAAAAACAUGAUUUGGAGACUUGGAGUCUUCAAAACCAGGAGGUUGAUGGACAUAAACUUCUUCAUCUAUAUAACCAUUUAAGAAGGCACUCUUGACAUCCAUCUGAUAAAGAGUGAUGUUAUGUUGAGUGGAAAAAGAAAUUAAUAGACGAAUAGAUUCUAACCUGGCCACUGGUGCAAAGGUUUCUGUGUAGUCAAUCCCUUCUUGCUGACUAUAACCUUGAGCAACCAGUCUGGCUUUGUUUCUUACCACUUCUCCCUUCUCGCUUAGCUUGUUUCUGAACACCCACUUAGUGCCGAUGAUGUUAAAUCCUUUUGGUCUAGGAACCAAGUCCCAUACAUCAUUCCUUGUAAACUGAUUUAGUUCUUCUUGCAUGGCAAUUAUCCAGUCUGGAUCUUCUAGAGCUUGAUCAACAGAAGUUGGCUCGAUCAAAGAAACAAGACCUAAUUGACAUUGUGCAUUGUUCUUAAGGAAUGCCCUUGUUCUGAUGGGAUCAUCUUUCUUUCCAAGGAUCACAUCUUCUGAAUGAGCUGAUGCAAGUCUAGGUGAUCUUCUGACUGUUGGUUCUUCAGAAAUCCUGAGAUUCUCUAAAGAUGCAGCAACUUGAUCUUCUGAUCCAUUGCUUCUGAGACUUUCGGCUUCUGCAGCUUUGCUUCUUGGUUCUACAGCUUCUGAUAUAUCAAUAUCUAUAUCUGCAAAAUUCUCAAACU